UUGAAAACACCACAGGCCCUCUCCUAUGGCUCUAACCAGUUUAUUUAAAUAGAUUAACACUCUCCUUAGUCAACCCCAAUCCAUGCAUACCCUUAAAAAAAGUUACAAUUACAGAUUUGAAUAUGGUAUACAAACACAAACUCCAAAAAAUUACACAGAAGCAAUAUAUCUGAUUACACUGCACACUACAACAAAGCAGACAGCAGUAUUUCCUCUAAUCCAUCAUUUAAAUUAGCAAAGCUAAAAUCUGUUAACUCCAAGCUCCAUCAAAGUCUAACCUUCACAUACUAACCAGAUAGUAUAAUGGAGCUGCUAAACACGCUCUGCAAAGAUAUUUUAUAAUAAACUUUUCACAGAAUAAUACAUUUUCAUACAAUUUUCAUACUCUAGAUCAUAAAAGUGAAACUUAGAGAAAAAAAAAAGAACUUAAUUAACUCUGAAAUGGCAGAAUGUUUCUUAUUUAAAAUCUAUAUCAAAAUAUGUCCAAAAACCUCUAAGCAGAUUUCAGUUCCAGUCAGCAUCAAAGAACAAGUUGUUCCAUGGCACCAGAACUAAGAAAGCAGCAUUUCCUCUAGCUUGGUUCCUUAAAUGGAUCCAUACAACACUGUAGGAUGGAUUCUGAGUAUUUGCUGCCUGAGUAUCCAGAAUGCUGGGAGUGAAAAGGGAACCAUGAAAACAAUAACAAAUAUGAAGCCUGUUCUGAAGACAAAAAUCUCAGAUGACUGGGGGUAAAACAGCAAAUAUCAGCAGAAUGCACUCAUGAAUUCAAACUCUUCCAACUACAACUUCGUUGCUUUUCCAGAAUUUUUAAGUUUGCAAAAUCAUUUUCAAAGGUAAAACUGAACUUUUCACCUGUGUCA
This is a long non-coding RNA of Vidua chalybeata, 860 nucleotides long. RefSeq lists it as uncharacterized. The record is from RefSeq and is a predicted model, not a curated record. NCBI's taxonomy places the organism in Eukaryota, Metazoa, Chordata, Aves, Passeriformes, Viduidae. The transcript has 3 exons.